This 92-nucleotide non-coding RNA is filed under the name Candidatus Cryptoclostridium obscurum. Its description in RNAcentral is "Pyrrolysine insertion sequence mttB". It matches the Rfam family "Pyrrolysine insertion sequence mttB". The record is from RNAcentral. Lineage: Bacteria; Bacillati; Bacillota; Clostridia.
CGACAGCAAAUGCGUUGAUGCCCAAGCUGCCCAUGAAGCAACUUUGACCGCUAUCUUGCCCGCAUUGGCAGGUGCCAAUAUGAUCUAUGGUA